AAGUCGUAACAAGGUCUCCGUUGGUGAACCAGCGGAGGGAUCAUUACAGAGUUGCAAAACUCCCAAACCAUUGUAAACCUUACCGUUACCGUUGCUUCGGCGGGUGGCUCCCCUAGGGAUGCCGCGCCCUCCCUUUAGGGUCGGCAGCCCGCCAGAGGUAUACUAAACUCUCGUAUCCAUUGGCAUCUCUGAGUAACUUAUAAAAUAAGUCAAAACUUUCAACAACGGAUCUCUUGGUUCUG
RNAcentral lists this unclassified non-coding RNA (242 nucleotides) under fungal sp. RNAcentral describes it as "partial internal transcribed spacer region". The stretch from base 1 to 46 matches the Rfam family "Eukaryotic small subunit ribosomal RNA", at positions 1786 to 1831 of the family's 1831-position model. Lineage: Eukaryota; Fungi. The record is from RNAcentral.